RNAcentral lists this unclassified non-coding RNA (266 nucleotides) under uncultured bacterium. Its description in RNAcentral is "contains 16S-23S intergenic spacer region". The record is from RNAcentral.
CAGAUGGUUCUGGUCAUUCUCACGGCUCGGCUGGUCCCCGUUCGCUCGCCACUACUGGGGGAGUCUCAUAUUGAUGUCCUUUCCUCCGGGUACUGAGAUGUUUCAGUUCCCCGGGUUUGCCUCUUGUGACCUAUGGAUUCAGUCUCAAGAUACCUGGUUGGCCCAACCGUUGAUUGCUCGCGCAAACAACGGCAAAGCCUCAGGUGGGUUGCCCCAUUCGGAGAUCACUGGAUCAAAGCCCAUUCCCGGCUCCCCAGUGCUUAUCG